GCUACCGAGAGCCAGAAAAGGGGAAGACUCAGGCAAGCGCUCACAGGCCUGCCAGACCCCCAGACCCGCAGACAGAUGACUUUAUCUAUGCUCGCACCCCGGAGCCCUCGGGCUGUCUUCCAAGACAGGUGCACACGCAGGGAAUAAGGGGUGGUCACUCCCGGAGGCGGGGCCCCUAAGGCCCGCAGCGCUGUUGGGAGUGUCCCCUGCCCCGGGCUUCCUGUUAGCCCGCGAAGGGUCCAGAGUCUGCAGGGGUGGCCAGGUGGGCGACGUGGCGCCCCUACACGGAGCCCUCAAGCCCUUGGCCGCGAAGUCUGACCACAGCCACUCGUGGGAGUCUGGUGGGAGUCUGGUGGGAGACUUGGAGCCAUAAGGCAGGAAGAAAGAUGACUCUGGCAGCAGUUGCCCAGGAUGGCCUUGAGAGGGACGCUGGAGGCAGGAGGUCUGGUCAGAGGUGUCGGCGGUAUGCCUGGCUGGAGGCCGUCACCAAUUCCUUUUGGAUGCUGGAAAGCUGUAGAUGACAACCAAGUAAAAACAGUCCGAAAAAACCGAUUCCGUUUAUGCUAGCAGAGGCCCCAAGCCCUGAAAAGAGGAUGGAUGGUCUGCCUUCUCUGAGUAUAAUUCAAAAUAAAACAACACUGAAG
Non-coding RNA from Callorhinus ursinus (northern fur seal), 644 nucleotides. The record is from RefSeq and is a predicted model, not a curated record. NCBI's taxonomy places the organism in Eukaryota, Metazoa, Chordata, Mammalia, Carnivora, Otariidae.